GUGUCGCUCUAGCUCUUUGGCACGAAGGCCACUUCUUGGUUCCGCUGACGUGCUUUCUCCGCUGGCCCCGCCUAAAUACUAAAUGCAUCGCUGUCUGUAGACCCUUGCAGGGAUCCUGCAGCCCAUGUCUGCUGCCGCUGUAAAUUAAGCUCUCCUGCUGUGUGUUUGUCUGAACUUGGCCUGAUCGGCUCUGCGCUGGAAGCGUGAUAAAGAAGGACUGCUGUUUUGCCUCUACGUCUACGUCUGUGCAUCCACGACUGCUCUACGUCUACGAGUGUCUUGCCUGCCUGACUGAGUGUUGCCUGGACGGCUGGUCUGCCCUAACGGCUGUGUCUGUCUGCACAGCUGGCUUGCCUGCCCUAACUGUGCUUCACCGCUACACUACUGC
Notothenia coriiceps (black rockcod) is the source of this 388-nucleotide long non-coding RNA. RefSeq lists it as uncharacterized. NCBI's taxonomy places the organism in Eukaryota, Metazoa, Chordata, Actinopteri, Perciformes, Nototheniidae. The transcript has 3 exons. The record is from RefSeq and is a predicted model, not a curated record.